GAACGCUGGCGGCGUGCCUAACACAUGCAAGUCGAGCGAUGAAGUUCCUUCGGGAACGGAUUAGCGGCGGACGGGUGAGUAACACGUGGGCAACCUGCCUUAUAGAGGGGAAUAGCCUUCCGAAAGGAAGAUUAAUACCGCAUAGGAUUGUAGCUUCGCAUGAAGUAGCAAUUAAAGGAGCAAUCCGCUAUAAGAUGGGCCCGCGGCGCAUUAGCUAGUUGGUGAGGUAACGGCUCACCAAGGCGACGAUGCGUAGCCGACCUGAGAGGGUGAUCGGCCACAUUGGGACUGAGACACGGCCCAGACUCCUACGGGAGGCAGCAGUGGGGAAUAUUGCACAAUGGGGGAAACCCUGAUGCAGCAACGCCGCGUGAGUGAUGACGGCCUUCGGGUUGUAAAGCUCUGUCUUUGGGGACGAUAAUGACGGUACCCAAGGAGGAAGCCACGGCUAACUACGUGCCAGCAGCCGCGGUAAUACGUAGGUGGCAAGCGUUGUCCGGAUU
This 503-nucleotide ribosomal RNA is filed under the name uncultured bacterium. RNAcentral describes it as "bacterial SSU rRNA". It matches the Rfam family "Bacterial small subunit ribosomal RNA", at positions 31 to 551 of the family's 1533-position model. The record is from RNAcentral.